UUAAGACUAUUUGCUAACCCUAAACCUAAAUAUGUUUUUCUUUUCUCAAACUCUAACUCACCCAGCCGCCUUCCUCUAAUCGUCUCUCUCACCAUUUUUGCUUUCUCUUGUCUCUAUCCAUCCUUCUCUCUCACGGCCAGCUACACACCUUUCACCCACGAGGUGUCCUCCCUCAAUCUCGGAGCUCAUCUCUCACGGUCACUGUCACAGCCCGUCGCCCCUCUCCCAUUGUCGAUCCUCCCUUUCUCAAUCUCGGAUCUCAUCAUAGACCCUUCUUCUCACAUUCUCGGAGCCACCCAAGUUGCCCAUCUUCUCUUGAUUCUCGACGAAAACAUAGAGCAUCCCAAGCUUGUUUUUGUCCAUUUACAUUAGGUAAGGGAAAGGGAAAGCUAAACCAGCCGUGAGUUGGAGAGCUUUAGGGGCGGCGUGUACAUUUGCAGUUGCUCGACCGCCACGGCCGAUGGAUCAACAAGGACUAGAGCCAAACUUGAUUUUGCCACUUAGGCUGACUUUAAUUGUAAUCAUUUUGAGAGUUAUAAAUGCCUUGUAAGCACCUAUUUUUGGGAUCCCAUUUACAGACUCAACUUUUUAAUGAAAACAACUAUUUCUAUGAUCAAAUCUUUUAACUCUAAUCCGUUAAUUAACUUUAGUAGCACGUUCAUGUCCAAACGGCUUGAUUAACAAGUCCAGCACUAUUUAAAAUACACAGUGUAAUGGUCUUAGCUAUCCAGGGCAUUGCACGAUGUUUGUUAAUUGUCCCUUAUGCAUAGGAGUGAUUCGGGCUUUGGAUGUUCAGUAUAAAUGGAGACAUCAUAGCCGUUGCAACCAAAAGAUCCCAGAGUUUAUAUCAAGACCAAGUCAUAAGAAACUUAUGAACACAAUUUGCAACCAAACAAAGUUAGAGGAGAUUGAUAUAAUUGAAAUAUUUUUGGAUAUCAACUUGAACAAUGUCUUGUGGGUUUGCUUCUUCUUCUACAACUGCAACCAUAACUGGGCACAACAAUCUUGAUCUCUUCCUUCACAGCGGCAAUCCCAUUAUUUUCUUCAAGAACUCUUCCUCAGGGAUUAUGUUUUCGCGGGAUAAGAAUGUUUCGAAAAUGAACAUGGUCAAAAGAAAUGAUCAAGUUCGUUAAGCCAGAUAAGACGGAUGCUUCUGCUGACUCAAUAGUUUCCUAUUUUGUCGAAACAGAAUCAAUCUGGCUGGCAGAUUUUCUAAGUCAAAGAAAUUUGCAAAUAUUCUUGUAUUGAUUACAAAAUUUCAGAAAGAGUUGGCCUUGGUCGACUUUCUCACCUAUUAAUACCUUGCCAAAGCCUAUGGAAAAAUCACAUCUUCCAUUUUGAAUUUUGUAAACACUUGUUAUUAUUUUGAAGAGUAUUUUUCUUUGUAAAAUUAAGUUGUUCACCUUAAUCUUUGUGUGUAUGCCAAGUGCACUUGUCCAUACAUCUAUCUUGUUCCUUGUAAAUAGGUGGUAUCUCUUGUGAACGUGUUCCUAAGGAUCUUCAGGAGAAGAUUUCAUCAAAGUCUCAAUUCGGGAGGAAGAGAGCACUCGCUUUUCUUUGAAGGGAUUUCAAGAGAAUCAACGUUUCAUCAAAACCAGAUUCGUAGAGAAGAGUACAACAAGAUUGCAACAAAUUUAAGACGGAGUCUUACAUUUUUUUAAGUCUAUGCUUUUAUACACAUUAUGUCUUUACUAAUUGGUUUAUUCUCUGGGCGUGGCCUCGUGGAUGAAGGUUAUGCAAAAGGAUUUUUGAACCAUGUAAAAACUCUUGUGUGUAGA
This is a long non-coding RNA of Humulus lupulus (European hop), 1778 nucleotides long. RefSeq lists it as uncharacterized. The record is from RefSeq and is a predicted model, not a curated record. NCBI's taxonomy places the organism in Eukaryota, Viridiplantae, Streptophyta, Magnoliopsida, Rosales, Cannabaceae. The transcript has 3 exons.